UACAGGGGGUGCAAACGUUGCUCGGAAUCAUUGGGCGUAAAGCGCACGUAGGCGGCUUUCUAAGUCAGGGGUGAAAUCCUGGAGCUCAACUCCAGAACUGCCUUUGAUACUGGAGAGCUUGAGUCCGGGAGAGGUGAGUGGAACUCCGAGUGUAGAGGUGAAAUUCGUAGAUAUUCGGAAGAACACCAGUGGCGAAGGCGGCUCACUGGCCCGGUACUGACGCUGAGGUGCGAAAGCGUGGGGAGCAAACAGG
RNAcentral lists this ribosomal RNA (253 nucleotides) under uncultured bacterium. Its description in RNAcentral is "partial 16S ribosomal RNA". It matches the Rfam family "Bacterial small subunit ribosomal RNA", at positions 524 to 776 of the family's 1533-position model. The record is from RNAcentral.